GAAGUCGUAACCGGUACCCGUAGAUUUUGAUCCUGGCCCCUAGAGUUUUCUCCGGGCUGCCGAAAAUUGUAACCGGGGUCCCUAAUGUUUUGAACCGGGCCCCGUCAUGGUGGAUAACUACCCCAAAGCGUUUCUAAUACCGCAUACGCCCUGAGGGGGAAAGUGGGGGAUCUUCGGACCUCACGUGAUUGGAGCGGCCGAUGUCAGAUUAGCUAGUUGGUGAGGUAAAGGCUCACCAAGGCGACGAUCUGUAGCGGGUCUGAGAGGAUGAUCCGCCACACUGGGACUGAGACACGGCCCAACUCCUACGGGAGGCAGCAGUGGGGAAUUUUGGACAAUGGGCGCAAGCCUGAUCCAGGCGUGCCGCGUGAGUGAAAAGGCCUUCGGGUUGUAAAGCUCUUUCGCAAGGGAAGAAAACGUGUGGGCUAAUAUCCUGCGCGGAUGACGGUACCUUGACAAGAAGCACCGGCUAACUACUGCCACAGCCGCGGUAAUACGUAGGGUGCGAGCGUUAAUCGAAUUACUGGGCGUAAAGCGUGCCAGCGGUUGUGUAAACAGGUGUGAAAUCCCCGGGCUAACCUGGGAACUGCCUUGUGACUGCCCGGUAAAUACGGCAAAGGGGGUGGAAUUCUGGUGUACAUG
RNAcentral lists this ribosomal RNA (642 nucleotides) under Azoarcus sp. HPC1154. RNAcentral describes it as "bacterial SSU rRNA". It matches the Rfam family "Bacterial small subunit ribosomal RNA", at positions 64 to 681 of the family's 1533-position model. Lineage: Bacteria; Pseudomonadati; Pseudomonadota; Betaproteobacteria; Rhodocyclales; Zoogloeaceae. The record is from RNAcentral.